Caretta caretta (loggerhead turtle) is the source of this 642-nucleotide long non-coding RNA. RefSeq lists it as uncharacterized. NCBI's taxonomy places the organism in Eukaryota, Metazoa, Chordata, Testudines, Cheloniidae. The record is from RefSeq and is a predicted model, not a curated record.
AAGGAUGUGCAAGUACAGAAAACACAAACCCAAGUUCCUUGAUGUGUGAAAAUACAGAACCCUCCAAACCUUCUUAAAUGUCACUGACAUCACUGGAUGGAUUAUUCUGACUGCCUGGGGCUAUUUUCGAUAUGCUUUCUGUUCCUGUUUCAGAUGGUGGUACUCUACUCAGUUGGGUUAGCUGCAGUGACUUCAAGAGCAACUUUGGGAACACAUCCUAGAGUUCCGUGUGCUGUCACAUGUUGAAAGAUACAUGUUCAUUAAGAAGAAAGGACAUCCAUGUGCAGAGGAUCCCUUUUAUGUGCAAAUGGAGGAGGCAUGAACUGACCCAGUGUUCGCUACCCAGCCUCUGGGAUAGACAACCACAACAUAAAAUUAAAUAUAAGCAAAAAGUGAAACUUACCAGUCUAUUUUGAAGAUGAGUGAAAUGCAAAAAACAUCUGAAAUGUUUAAGAUUACAAUUCCUUUCAGUUUUAACAAUUUCAGAUCAGUAACACAAGCAAGGGAAUUUAUUGUUCAGAAUUAUAUGGGGCCACAAUCUGCUCUCAGCUAAUGUCGAUUUACACCAGUAAAGUUAACUUGAGUUACUUUAGACUUAUAGCAGUGUAAAUGAGAAUAAAAUUUAGACCAUGAUCUGUAACA